CCCGACGACAUGUCGUCGGGAUAGUUUUUCCCGAAGGCAUGUCCGGAUUGACCAGACUUUUCCCGACGACCAUUUAGUGUCUUGCAGUGAACUUUAAGUCAUUGCAAAGAAGUGUUUGGAACAGGUUAAGUGGGUUGUCAAUAUCCAAACAAUUUUCAAAUAUAAAAUAUAUAAUAAAAAAAAAAUCAAACAACAGUGGUUAUAAAUCUGAUGUCUGGUUACUAAUUUGCAAGUUAACAUUUAUUUCUAGACGGAUUCACUAAACAAACAACUAUACUGGACAAUACUAUAUAGAGGUUUUGAUUGUAUUAUACUACAUAAAUAUGAAUUGUUUGAUAAUGCUUGUUUUUGUGUUUAUAAUAGUCUGGUUUAAGUUUUUUUUUUCGUUGUACAUCAUGCAAAAAGGAAAAGAAUAAGAAGCCAAACUUUUAUAUUCAUAACACAGUAACAUACAUUCUACCAAAGUAAGGUUAAACGUAUGUGCAUAAAUUAUAUUGUAAAUCGCAAGAAUGUUCAUAAAUCUUAAAUUCUAGAAAGUUGUGAGAAAAUUGUAAGCAUAAAAAUGAACUUUAAGCAUUCUUUACGUUAGCCCAUUUGGUUAUGGCUCUUAAAGGGAAGGUCUCAUCGUUCGUAUCCGAACCCAUUAAAAUUCCAUUCCAUCACUAAUCCUGGCGUCAUCAUCAUCUUCGUUGAUGACGUCAUCAAUCUUGCCAAAAUUCUCAAAGUUUUUCAGAAUCAAUCAGUACUGCAUUAUAUUUUCAUUUUGCAAUGCAUAUUUAUAUAAUGUGAGGUGUCUAUAUAACUAAUAUUAUUAGAGAUACAGGCAACCCUAGUUAUAAUUUUGAUGCCUAGUUACUUUGCAAGUUUUUGUAGACGGAUUCACAAACGAGGAUGAGAUUUAUAAGGAUUUCUCGAGCAAACCUUCAAUGGUAUCUUAUGGAAUGGCAUCCAUUCGGAACAGCUUUCAACACGAUAUGUUUUUGAGCUUCAGAAAAGACUAAGGUUUGGAUUUAUACCUCAAUAAGAAGAGGAAGUCGGUUGAAGUGGUUGGUGUCAGUUAAAUCGGUUUUAUGGUGGUGGCAUUGAUUUUAGAACUCGCCAGAAAACUCCAUCGAGUGGGUUUUCUAAUAAAUAAUCAUUUGACACUUUAGCAAUUAACAGUGACCAACAAGGCUUCAGCAUGGAUCCAACUUGUUGUUUUUUCAAAUCUUAGUCUCCUCCUGGGCUCAGAGUUUCCUUCACGUCAGAUAACUUCAUCGUCUUCAAAAUCCGGGUAUGGACAGUUAUCGACAAAGUUGUCCGACGUGAAAGAAACUCUGAGCUCGGGAGGAGACGAAGAUUGAAAAAACAGCAAGUUGUAUCCAUGCUGAAGCAUUGGUGGUCACUAUUGAUCCAACUGCUAAAGUAUCAACAUAUCAGAAUGUGAACAAGCCUAUUUUGGAGAAUUAAACCCUUGGGGUUAGCGCCAAUGAACUUGUGGAUGCUCACAAGAGAGCAACGAUAUAUGGGCUUAAACCCGUUUAUGCAUCCUUGAGAAACAAGUCUACAAACGUUCUGCUUCUAGGAGCAAUCCUUCUGUUGGUACUUUAGUAGUUGGAUCAACAGGGACCACCAAGGCUUCAGCAUGGAUCCAACUUGUUUUUUCAAAUCUUAGUCUCCUCUUGAGCUCAGAGUUUCCUUCACGUCGGAUAACUUCAUCGGUAACUAUCCAUACCCGGAUUUUGAAGACGAUGAACUGAAUGGGUCCACGGAUGAAUUAAGUCGAAGAGAUUUGUGAGAGCGAGAUCCAUGUGAUCGCACCUGAUUGCUUUUCAACAACAUUAAGCAUAUUCUUCACCAACAAGGGGCACUUAUGAUUCAUGUGAUCGCACCUUAUUGCUUUUUCGAAAUGGACUAGAAAAAUAUUUUGGAAAAUCACUUUCUAAUGAUUUAUAAGUUACGCUUU
This 1945-nucleotide long non-coding RNA is filed under the name Helianthus annuus (common sunflower). RNAcentral describes it as "hypothetical non coding rna". Lineage: Eukaryota; Viridiplantae; Streptophyta; Magnoliopsida; Asterales; Asteraceae. The record is from RNAcentral.